GACGAACGCUGGCGGCGUGCUUAACACAUGCAAGUCGAACGGAAAGGCCCUGCUUUUGUGGGGUGCUCGAGUGGCGAACGGGUGAGUAACACGUGAGUAACCUGCCCUUGACUUUGGGAUAACUUCAGGAAACUGGGGCUAAUACCGGAUAUGAGCUCCUGCUGCAUGGUGGUGGUUGGAAAGUUUCGGCGGUUGGGGAUGGACUCGCGGCUUAUCAGCUUGUUGGUGGGGUAGUGGCUUACCAAGGCUUUGACGGGUAGCCGGCCUGAGAGGGUGACCGGCCACAUUGGGACUGAGAUACGGCCCAGAAUCCUACGGGAGGCAGCAGUGGGGAAUAUGGCACAAUGGGCGGAAGCCUGAUGCAGCAACGCCGCGUGCGGGAUGACGGCCUUCGGGUUGUAAACCGAUUUCGCCUGUGACGAAGCGUGAGUGACGGUAAUGGGUAAAGAAGCACCGGCUAACUACGUG
Molecule: ribosomal RNA, 468 nt
Filed under: uncultured bacterium
Lineage: Bacteria
Description: partial 16S ribosomal RNA
Rfam family: Bacterial small subunit ribosomal RNA
Source: RNAcentral